Molecule: ribosomal RNA, 433 nt
Filed under: uncultured bacterium
Lineage: Bacteria
Description: partial 16S ribosomal RNA
Rfam family: Bacterial small subunit ribosomal RNA
Source: RNAcentral
AACGAACGCUGGCGGCAUGCCUAACACAUGCAAGUCGAACGAGACCUUCGGGUCUAGUGGCGCACGGGUGCGUAACGCGUGGGAACCUGCCCUUAGGUUCGGAAUAACACCCCGAAAGGGGUGCUAAUACCGGAUAAUGUCUUCGGACCAAAGAUUUAUCGCCUUUGGAUGGGCCCGCGUUGGAUUAGCUAGUUGGUAGGGUAAAAGCCUACCAAGGCGACGAUCCAUAGCUGGUCUGAGAGGAUGAUCAGCCACACUGGGACUGGGACACGGCCCAGACUCCUGCGGGAGGCAGCAGUGGGGAAUAUUGGACAAUGGGCUAAAGCCUGAUCCAGCAAUGCCGCGUGAGUGAUGAAGGCCUUAGGGUUGUAAAGCUCUUUUACCCGGGAUGAUAAUGACAGUACCGGGAGAAUAAGCUCCGGCUAACUCCGUG